This 328-nucleotide ribosomal RNA is filed under the name uncultured eukaryote. Its description in RNAcentral is "partial 18S ribosomal RNA". It matches the Rfam family "Eukaryotic small subunit ribosomal RNA", at positions 1470 to 1796 of the family's 1831-position model. The record is from RNAcentral.
CCCUUAGAUGCUCUGGGCCGCACGCGCGCUACACUGGUCGAUGCAACGAGUUUCUUUCCUUGGCCGACAGGCCUGGGCAAUCUUUGAACAUCGAUCGUGAUCGGGAUAGAUUCUUGUAAUUUUUGAUCUUAAACGAGGAAUUCCUAGUAAACGCAAGUCAUCAGCUUGCAUUGAUUACGUCCCUGCCCUUUGUACACACCGCCCGUCGCACCUACCGAUUGAAUGGUCCGGUGAAGCGUUUGGACUAUGGUUUUCUGAUGGUCCGCCGUUGGAUUACCGUGGGAAGUUCGUUAAACCUUAUCAUUUAGAGGAAGGAGAAGUCGUAACA